Molecule: long non-coding RNA, 419 nt
Organism: Monopterus albus (swamp eel)
Lineage: Eukaryota; Metazoa; Chordata; Actinopteri; Synbranchiformes; Synbranchidae
Exons: 3
Source: RefSeq, a predicted model, not a curated record
UUCUAAAAAGCUGGGAGACCAGCAAAGAGUCCCAUGCACUCCGAGGGCCCCAUUUAGCUCGGCUUGAGUUAAUGCACAGGCUGAGAGAAAGGGGUUGCCCCAAGGAGAGCCUGCUAGGUGAGCCUUCAGAGCUAAUGGUGUAGUUCUUUGAGAAGUUUGGAGAUAAACCCUACUGCACCACCGACCUAAAAAUAUACCUGCACCUGCUCGCUCCUGAGCAGCAUGUACAGUUCAUUAAUCGUCUGAGUGAAGCGGUUCCACUAGGAGAGCAGGGUGAGGAGGGCUUUGCUUUUCCAGACCACACCAAAGCGCUGCAAAGGCAUCUCUGUGUGUGUCAGCUGAGUUGAGGCCUCAGGCUGCAUCACUCUCUCGACGUGGAUGGAAAACUGCUGCUCAUUACGGAGCUCAAGGCUCACUAU